CAGUAGCCGCGGUAAUACCGAGGAUCCAAGCGUUAUCUGGAAUCAUUGGGUUUAAAGGGUCCGUAGGCGGUCUUGUAAGUCAGUGGUGAAAGCCCAUCGCUCAACGGUGGAACGGCCAUUGAUACUGCAGGACUUGAAUUAUUGGGAAGUAACUAGAAUAUGUAGUGUAGCGGUGAAAUGCUUAGAGAUUACAUGGAAUACCAAUUGCGAAGGCAGGUUACUACCAAUUGAUUGACGCUGAUGGACGAAAGCGUGGGUAGCGAACAGGAUUAGAUACCCCCGUAGUCCCUGUCUCUUAUAC
Molecule: ribosomal RNA, 301 nt
Filed under: uncultured bacterium
Lineage: Bacteria
Description: partial 16S ribosomal RNA
Rfam family: Bacterial small subunit ribosomal RNA
Source: RNAcentral